GAGAUGCAGAUUGGGUUCAUCAGAAAUGAGAAUCAUAUAUAUAUGGUUUACAGAGGGGCUACAAUCAGGAAAAUUUAUGAUCAGAGUUCACCGGUGAAAAAAUAGAUUACGAAUAGACACACGGCGUAACUCUGACUUGUUUGAGACAAUGAUGAAAAGAACCCAAACUCAUGUUAAACGAUAACAAUUUACAAUAUGAGAAAACUAUAAUUGUUGGAAACUUGAGUUUUUUUCAUAUAACGUGAUGAAUCUCAUUUAAAAAUUAAACUCAUAAUACACUUGUAGACCCGAUCCUCAGAGGAAGCCGAAGAAGCAAAGGCUUCCGACCUUCAUAAAUAUUUAUUAGGUUCAACCAUACAAAGUAUCAUUUAGCUUAUUGCUAUAAAUGUUGGUGUUUAUAUCUCAAUAAUCUGGGUUUAAGUCAUGAACUUGAUA
RNAcentral lists this long non-coding RNA (435 nucleotides) under Brassica napus (rape). RNAcentral describes it as "long non-coding RNA (BNAP_LNC009263)". The record is from RNAcentral. Lineage: Eukaryota; Viridiplantae; Streptophyta; Magnoliopsida; Brassicales; Brassicaceae.